GCCGAGAUAGCUCAGGGGUAGAGCAAUAGAUUGAAAAUCUAUGAGUCGUUCGUUCAAAUCGGACUCUUGGC
RNAcentral lists this transfer RNA (71 nucleotides) under Chlorotetraedron incus. Its description in RNAcentral is "tRNA-Phe". It matches the Rfam family "tRNA". Rfam says of the family: Transfer RNA (tRNA) molecules are approximately 80 nucleotides in length. Their secondary structure includes four short double-helical elements and three loops (D, anti-codon, and T loops). The record is from RNAcentral. Lineage: Eukaryota; Viridiplantae; Chlorophyta; Chlorophyceae; Sphaeropleales; Neochloridaceae.